CCAACCUCAACCAUUCUGUGAUUCUGUGAAUUAUCAGCAUUUAUCUCUGAAUCAUCAAUUAUUGCUCUCUUAAGGGGAAAAUCUCUUCCCAUUAAAACUAAUGCCUGUACCUGUUUCAGAGGUCCCUUCACUGCCUGGAAAUACUCUGGAAGAUAAUUAUGAUGAUGUGACAGAAGCUCCUGGACCAAAAGAUGAUCCUCUUUCUGAGCAGAAUGAACAGGAAAUCAUUGUGGUCAUUGAAGAAAGUAAAGGAAGCCGGGAUUCACAGACCGAUUGGAAUCCUAAUGCACCAGGAAACAGGACCUCUGAGGCUGAGAGAGAGGAUUUAUCCCCUCCUCUUGAAGAUACAGCUUAUGAUGAAAGUGAAGAGCUGGGACACUGACAAAGACUGCUGGACAAUACCAAACUCUUUUUGAAAUAGAUCUCUGUCUAUAAAAUGCUAAUCAGGUACUAGCAGAACCAGAGCAACCUUCACUUAGUAUUAGUUUACCUACCUUUUUUUUUUCAGGAGAGGGAUUACAUAUUUAGAAGAAACAGAAGUUUGACUGUUAAGAAAAUUUCUUAUUUCCCUUCUAAUUUCUUAUUGCCAUGUCUGCCUGGACAGUUUCUGCUUUUUAUUUCUAAAUAUUUUCACUGUUUUUUUUUUUCCUACUGAGUUAAUAUUUCAACUUAUGAUAUUUCCUUAUUAAGAACUGUUUAAAGUGUUCAUAAUCUUGUACCAAGGACUAAGGCAGAAGAGGUUGGCACAGGGAUGAACUAAAUACUGUUUUAUAUUCACUGAGUAGCCUGGCAAACCUACACUUCUGUGUAUGUCUUGAUGGGGCACUGGAUGGAGCUUCCCCAUGGGAUCUUGUGAGAGUGCAGGAGUGCUUGUUAUUCUGUAAUGCAUAGGAUGUUUCAACUUGUCUGAUAUUAUUCUUUCUGAGCUAGGCUGAAAGUAGUGAGGAGGAAAUUCAAAAGGAAAGGCAAGUCUGGCAGAGACAAGGCACUUCAUUAGAAGAAAGCCUAAGGUAAAGCAACCACCUGGACAUCUAGCUCCAGGCAGGAGUGGUGUACUUCUUCCCUGGUUAAACCUACAUCACAGGAGGACCUGUCACAGGAACCAGGCCUGUAAGAAAAGAAGACUUGCUGGGUGCUUCUCCAGCAGUAUCAGUAAGACCUGACAGGCAGGCUAUGAGAUACAGAUGGAGGGAAACAAGUAGGUGGGAUUUGUACCUUGUGGAAUGCAAAAAGACACUUACAAGAGUAUGUACCAGCCCUCCUGUAAGUAAUAGAUCACUUCAAAGUAUUAAAUCAACAACCUAUAUUGGCUAUAGAGCAGUAGGAAACCUGAGAGAAUCAGGCUAAGGUCAAGGUGUCCUCAAAUUGAACCUUCAAACAUG
Molecule: long non-coding RNA, 1382 nt
Filed under: Apteryx rowi (Okarito brown kiwi)
Lineage: Eukaryota; Metazoa; Chordata; Aves; Apterygiformes; Apterygidae
Description: lncRNA (ENSARWG00000005244.1)
Source: RNAcentral